RNA transcript from Enhydra lutris kenyoni (northern sea otter), 610 nucleotides. It is a transcript of the gene named aurora kinase A-interacting protein pseudogene, with no coding region annotated. The transcript has 2 exons. Lineage: Eukaryota; Metazoa; Chordata; Mammalia; Carnivora; Mustelidae. The record is from RefSeq and is a predicted model, not a curated record.
AUGCUCAUGAAUUUGGCUGCAAUUCACAGAUGCAAUCUUUUGGAACCUGCCCCUGCUAGAGGCACCCAGCCCACAGCCCCAAGUGGAGUUGCCUCCGUCCCCGGCAAGGGGCUCCAGCUGGAGCUUGAGGAGAUGCUGGUCCCCAGGAAGAUGUCUGUCAGUCCUCUGGAGAGCUGGCUGACCGCGCACUACCUCCUACCCAGACUAGCGGCCAGGGCCCCAGGGCCGGUGGCUCCAUCCCUGCUCUAUGAGUGUCCACCCAGCCCAGUGGGGUUAGGGGCCGAGCAGGGGAUGGAGGAGGUCUCAGAUGCCCCUGGGAUGCAGUGCAAGAACGUGCUGAAGAUUCGCAGGCAGAAGAUGAAUCAUCACAAGUACCGGAAUCUGGUCAAGAUGACCCGGUUCCUGCGGCGGAAGGUGCGGGAAGGACGCCUGAAACGGAAGCAGAUCAAGUUCGAGCGAGACCUGAGAUGCAUCUGGCUGAAGUCAGGCCUGAAGGAGGCCCCUGCAGGCUGGCAGACCCCCAAGAGCUACCUGAAGAGCAAAUGAGGCUAGUGCUGCUCUUUCCCACCUCUGUUGCUGCCGAUGACCCACUAAUAAAUGUUCAGGAACU